GACGAACGCUGGCGGCGUGCUUAACACAUGCAAGUCGAACGGAAAGGCCCUGCUUUGGUUGGGUGCUCGAGUGGCGAACGGGUGAGUAACACGUGAGUAACCUGCCCUUUACUUUGGGAUAACUUCAGGAAACUGGGGCUAAUACCGGAUAGGAGCUCCUGCUGCAUGGGGGGGGUUGGAAAGUUUCGGCGUUUGGGGAUGGACUCGCGGCUUAUCAGCUUGUUGGUGGGGUAGUGGCUUACCAAGGCUUUGACGGGUAGCCGGCCUGAGAGGGUGCCCGGCCACAUUGGGCCUGAGAUACGGUCCGGCCUCCUACGGGGGGCAGCAGUGGGGAAUAUUGCACAAUGGGCGGAAGCCUGAUGCAGCAACGCCGCGUGCGGGAUGACGGCCUUCGGGUUGUAAACCGCUUUCGCCUGUGACGAAGCGUGAGUGACGGUAAUGGGUAAAGAAGCACCGGCUAACUACGUG
RNAcentral lists this ribosomal RNA (468 nucleotides) under uncultured bacterium. Its description in RNAcentral is "partial 16S ribosomal RNA". It matches the Rfam family "Bacterial small subunit ribosomal RNA", at positions 28 to 507 of the family's 1533-position model. The record is from RNAcentral.